GGAGUAUGGGCCGUGUCUCAGUCCCAUUGUGGCUGAUCAUCCUCUCAAACCAGCUACUGAUCGUCGCCUUGGUGGUCCAUUACACCCCCAACUAGCUAAUCAGAUGCAGACUCAUCCCAGAGCACCGGAGUUUUCACGAAUACCAUCACAGGUACGCGCAUAUGCGGUAUUAGCAGUCGUUUCCAACUGUUGUCCCCCACUCUAGGGCAGAUUCUCUACAUAUUACUCACCCGUCCGCCACUUAUGUAUCUCCGAAGAGACCUUAUCGUUCGACUUGCAUGUAUGAAGCACGCCGCCAGCGUUGUCCUCGAGCCAUGAUCAAACUCU
RNAcentral lists this ribosomal RNA (327 nucleotides) under uncultured cyanobacterium. RNAcentral describes it as "partial 16S ribosomal RNA". The record is from RNAcentral. Lineage: Bacteria; Bacillati; Cyanobacteriota.